AAUGAUUGGAUGAGUGGAUAAUGCGAUGGCGUUUGAAGCGAAAGGUACUGGGUUCGAGUCCCAGAAUGAACA
Molecule: transfer RNA, 72 nt
Filed under: Schistosoma mansoni
Lineage: Eukaryota; Metazoa; Platyhelminthes; Trematoda; Strigeidida; Schistosomatidae
Source: RNAcentral